This 492-nucleotide ribosomal RNA is filed under the name uncultured bacterium. RNAcentral's name for it is "partial 16S ribosomal RNA". It matches the Rfam family "Bacterial small subunit ribosomal RNA", at positions 29 to 507 of the family's 1533-position model. The record is from RNAcentral.
AGUGAACGCUGGCGGUAGGCCUAACACAUGCAAGUCGAACGGCAGCACGGUAAGAGCUUGCUCUUACGGGUGGCGAGUGGCGGACGGGUGAGGAAUACAUCGGAAUCUACUUUUUCGUGGGGGAUAACGUAGGGAAACUUACGCUAAUACCGCAUACGACCUACGGGUGAAAGCAGGGGAUCUUCGGACCUUGCGCGAUUGAAUGAGCCGAUGUCGGAUUAGCUAGUUGGCGGGGUAAAGGCCCACCAAGGCGACGAUCCGUAGCUGGUCUGAGAGGAUGUUCAGCCACACUGGAACUGAGACACGGUCCAGACUCCUACGGGAGGCAGCAGUGGGGAAUAUUGGACAAUGGGGGCAAGCCUGAUCCAGCCAUACCGCGUGGGUGAAGAAGGCCUUCGGGUUGUAAAGCCCUUUUGUUGGGAAAGAAAAGCAGCAGGUUAAUACCCCGCUGUUCUGACGGUACCCAAAGAAUAAGCACCGGCUAACUUCGUG